UCCCGCUUUCCGCCCAGAGCUCACAGGCAUACGACUCGCUGUCUCACACGUGGCAGCGAAAGCCACCGCACAAUCGCAUAAAGCAAAGCGAGCCAACGAAGGGAGGAAGCAGAAAAGGAAAUCCACAUACGCACACGGGAGCGACAAGGCUGUGCUAAGUCCGGGAGGGGGACGCGAUGCUUUUCAGCACCGGCCUGUCGCGCUGCUUCGCGUCUCUUGCGGUAGCUUCGGCCUCCAGCUUUAUGCAGUCUCACCCGACGACGGAGACGGCGCUUCACACAGGGGACAAGCUGACACUAUGGAUCGAUGACACAGCGCCGGCGGCGAGAGCGCUUGAGGAGCACAUUCAGAGUGCGGCUUACAAGGAGCUGCACCGCCCAGCUCUGACCACGUCGGCAAUGGGGCUCUUCGGCGGAGAGCCUGGCUUUGAGAAGGCCCACCGCGUGUGGGUGGACCCGGACCGGCCGCACAUGAAGCACAUGUACAAUCAAACUCCACUGGCAAAGAACCUGCGCUAUACACGGUACGGCUACUUCAAGAGAGACAUGCAUCUGCUAGACAUUGAUAAGCUGGUGCGGCAUGCGCGCAUGCUGCCGACACCGAACCGGUUACUGACUGACUUCCUGUACCAGCGCGUGCCGCUGCCGGACAAGAGCUGCGCGGCGAUUCUGCGUUAUCAGAGGGACCAGCUGACGCUUGUGGCGGAUUGGCAGCGCGUGGCGAGCUUCCAAUGUGCGGAGGAGAUCUUUGAGCGGAUGGUGGUAACGAACAUUCCGCCGGUCGACGUCGGGCCCGAGACACACGCGGAGAUGAUCCGUUGCUGCGCUGUGUGCGGGGAGUGGGAAAAGGGCUGGGAUGUGUACCUGCAGCGGGCGCGGGAGAUGGAGGCGGACGCCACCGGCGACGCGGCCGACGCCUUCACGCUGACCACGUACCUGUACGACGCGGUCUUGGAGCUGUGUGUGGCGUGCCAGAAGCCGUCGCACGGCAUGGCCAUCAUGGCGGAGGUCAUUCAACGGCAUCUGCGGCCGCGUCCCUCAAUGCUGGCCAAGACGAUGAUACUGGUGUCGAUGGCUGCCGAGGAACUGCAGAAGGCGCCCGCUGCGUCCAGUGCGUUUGCAUCCGGCGAAACGACGGAAGCGGCAUCAGCAUCAUCGAGCGCAUCACCGGAUGCUCUGAGUGGGGUGAGCGGAGUACCGGCUACAUGGGAAGCCUACACAGCUCGCGGCCUCGAUACGUGGUCGCUCUAUGACUUCUACUCGCUGAAGCGCAGCAGCGAGUGCGUGGAAGCCUACAUGCGCAUGUGCAGCAUGCUGAACAUGCCAACCCUCGUUCUCGAGGCGCUCAGCUUUGCUGACGGCGCACAAAUUCGUGUCUCGCUGGAGUGCUACCAAUGGGCGCUCUACUCCAUUCGCCACGUCCCUGACAUGGGGGACUACAUCGUCGAUGUACUUGGCCAGUUGUCGCAGCGUGGGCUGACCGCAGACUACCUCCUCUUCACCAUGGCGUUUCUCGACUGUGCCACACAGGCGGAUGGUGAGCUGGCGCUGGCGGUUUACGAGCAGUUCUUUCUGCAUAGCGACAUCAAUCCCACCCCGGAGAUGGCGUUGCUUUUCUUGCAGGCCUGCACAACGUGCGACAAGCCGACAGUUCAGAUGUACGCCAGCUGCGAGGUGAUGAUGCAGCGACUCGAGGAGGUAGGGAGCAUCGUCGACAAUAUCCUGCCCAUGUACGACCAGUGCAUCGAGCUGGCGGCGCACGUUGGCGCGGUGAGCAGUGCCUACGGAAAAGUGAAGAAGCUUGUCAGCUAUGGCAAGCCGCUUACGACCCGCAUUCUCAACUCGCUGCUGCUCGCCAACGCACAGUCGGCGGAGGGCUCGCUGAGCAUGACCUCUGACGUUAUUCGGCUGUACUCCUUCUUGGGCAUCCCCUUCAACGAUGAUACGCUGACGUGUCUGCGCAUGUGCCAGGAUACGCACGGCACCUCGGCUGAGGUGGCCUCGUUUGCUGCUGCCAUCGAAGCUGCGCAAGCCGCCGCGCCGUCCGGAACGCUCGGUGAAGACGCCGAGACGAUGGUUGUCGACACGCCGCCGCACCGCCUGCGUCAGCUGAAGACGAAAUGGCACCUACGACCGCGUGACACGGUAUUGCGUCGCUUCGGCCAGCACACCAAGCCGAUGGGUCGUGAGGAUGUGGGCAGCAUGCUGGGCAGUGUCAUUCCCUUUGGCCGGUCACCAGGCGAGCGAGCGGUCUAGAACGGGUGAGGAGAGGGAUCCUUAUCGUAGUGGUGGCAUGACACGUUACUGUCCUGUGCUCAACACCGGUUGUCGCAGCACACAGCGCAUAGCGGGAGGAGAGGGCGACGCAUAUGGUGCGUUGUUCUCGCCUGUCCAAUGCUGCAUGUGCAUGCGUGUGCGCAUGUGCGCUGCUCAUCCUCUUCACAGUUUCGAUUUUGCGUCUCUCUCUCUCGCGCACCUUCUCCCUACCCCGCAGGCGCGCGUAGGUGCGGCGUCGAUCUUUCUCCUCUCCUUAUGUGCUGUGACUUGUACUUGCUAAGCCAAAGCGUUCUUCUGGAUGGCGGCCACGUAACUCCAUCUCAUCCGAGUUGCCCUCUUCCCCCCUCUUCCACUCCCCGUCCCUCCCAUAUCUGUGCAACCAGCUGCAGCACUGCCCCCCCCCCCCCCCCCUCUCUGCGCUACUCUGGUGGAAUCGACGGCGGCGCCAGCGAGGGCUGGCGCAGUGUGACUCACUCGUCUCAAUCAGCGCAGGAAGGGAUGGGGAGGGGGGGGCAGCCAUCGUGCUGCUUUUCCUUCCCUACCAUGCCGUCAUGCCACACGCGCCUCGACGCGCCGUACGUCGAUUCAAUGGCGCAUGUUUUUAUCUACCUAGUGACGUGCGGGGGAGACAACGUCUUCUGCCCGACUCCUGUGAGAUCGGGCAUGACUCACCAUGUAUGUGCAUGCGCGCCUCUCUGCCUGCUUCUAGCCGCGCUAGCAGCUCUUCACAUACAACUUCGUCCUUCUCUCCCUUCUCUCUUGCUCACCCAACUGCCUUUUGACCAG
RNAcentral lists this unclassified non-coding RNA (3062 nucleotides) under Leishmania donovani. RNAcentral's name for it is "gene:LdHU3.16.1980(CDS-product:hypothetical_prote in_conserved)". Lineage: Eukaryota; Euglenozoa; Kinetoplastea; Trypanosomatida; Trypanosomatidae. The record is from RNAcentral.